UACGUAGGGUGCAAGCGUUAUCCGGAAUUAUUGGGCGUAAAGAGCUCGUAGGCGGUUUGUCGCGUCUGCUGUGAAAACUGGAGGCUCAACCUCCAGCCUGCAGUGGGUACGGGCAGACUAGAGUGCGGUAGGGGAGAUUGGAAUUCCUGGUGUAGCGGUGGAAUGCGCAGAUAUCAGGAGGAACACCGGUGGCGAAGGCGGGUCUCUGGGCCGUAACUGACGCUGAGGAGCGAAAGCAUGGGGAGCGAACAGG
Molecule: ribosomal RNA, 253 nt
Filed under: uncultured bacterium
Lineage: Bacteria
Description: partial 16S ribosomal RNA
Rfam family: Bacterial small subunit ribosomal RNA
Source: RNAcentral